GCCGCUGAACUUAAGCAUAUCACUAAGCGGAGGAAAAGAAACUAACAAGGAUUCCCCUAGUAACUGCUAGUGAACAGGGA
Molecule: non-coding RNA, 80 nt
Filed under: Trichobilharzia regenti
Lineage: Eukaryota; Metazoa; Platyhelminthes; Trematoda; Strigeidida; Schistosomatidae
Description: Eukaryotic large subunit ribosomal RNA
Rfam family: Eukaryotic large subunit ribosomal RNA
Source: Rfam by way of RNAcentral